ACCGGCAAACGGGUGCGGAACACGUACAGAACCUUCCUUCGAGCGGGGAAUAGCCCAGAGAAAUUUGGAUUAAUACCCUAUAGUAUAUUGGAGUGGCAUCACUUUGAUAUUAAAGAUUUAUCACUUGAAGAUGGCUGUGCGGCUGAUUAGGUAGUUGGCGGGGUAACGGCCCACCAAGCCUACGAUCAGUAACUGGUGUGAGAGCACGACCAGUCACACGGGCACUGAGACACGGGCCCGACUCCUACGGGAGGCAGCAGUAAGGAAUAUUGGUCAAUGGACGCAAGUCUGAACCAGCCAUGCCGCGUGGAGGAUGAAGGUCCUCUGGAUUGUAAACUUCUUUUAUCUGGGACGAAAAAGGGCUUUUCUAAGUCAACUGACGGUACCAGAUGAAUAAGCACCGGCUAACUCCGUGCCAGCAGCCGCGGUAAUACGGAGGGUGCAAGCGUUAUCCGGAUUCACUGGGUUUAAAGGGUGCGUAGGUGGGUUGGUAAGUCAGUGGUGAAAUCUCCGAGCUUAACUUGGAAACUGCCAUUGAUACUAUCAGUCUUGAAUAUUGUGGAGGUCAGCGGAAUAUGUCAUGUAGCGGUGAAAUGCUUAGAUAUGACAUAGAACACCAAUUGCGAAGGCAGCUGGCUACGCAUAUAUUGACACUGAGGCACGAAAGCGUGGGGAUCAAACAGGAUUAGAUACCCUGGUAGUCCACGCCCU
RNAcentral lists this ribosomal RNA (711 nucleotides) under uncultured Terrimonas sp. RNAcentral's name for it is "bacterial SSU rRNA". It matches the Rfam family "Bacterial small subunit ribosomal RNA", at positions 94 to 803 of the family's 1533-position model. The record is from RNAcentral. Lineage: Bacteria; Pseudomonadati; Bacteroidota; Chitinophagia; Chitinophagales; Chitinophagaceae.